GGCUCUGUGGGGUAGUGGUAUAGCCCGGCGUAGGAUUCCAUCUAUAAAUCGCAGACGUCGGUUCGAUUCCGGCUGGAGCUC
Molecule: non-coding RNA, 81 nt
Organism: Nemania abortiva
Lineage: Eukaryota; Fungi; Ascomycota; Sordariomycetes; Xylariales; Xylariaceae
Source: the annotation of a GenBank genome assembly